Molecule: ribosomal RNA, 484 nt
Filed under: uncultured bacterium
Lineage: Bacteria
Description: bacterial SSU rRNA
Rfam family: Bacterial small subunit ribosomal RNA
Source: RNAcentral
AUUGAACGCUGGCGGAAUGCUUUAUACAUGCAAGUCGAGCGGCAGCGCGGGGGCAACCCUGGCGGCGAGCGGCGAACGGGUGAGUAACAUAUCGGAACGUACCCAGUCGUGGGGGAUAACUAUCCGAAAGGAUAGCUAAUACCGCAUACGUCCUGAGGGAGAAAGCGGGGGAUCGCAAGACCUCGCGCGAUUGGAGCGGCCGAUAUCGGAUUAGCUAGUUGGUGGGGUAAAGGCUCACCAAGGCGACGAUCCGUAGCGGGUCUGAGAGGACGACCAGCCACACUGGGACUGAGACACGGCCCAGACUCCUACGGGAGGCAGCAGUGGGGAAUUUUGGACAAUGGGCGAAAGCCUGAUCCAGCCAUGCCGCGUGCGGGAAGAAGGCCUUCGGGUUGUAAACCGCUUUUGUCAGGGAAGAAACGUCUUGGGAUAAUACCCCGAGAUAAUGACGGUACCUGAAGAAUAAGCACCGGCUAACUACGUG